Lophium mytilinum is the source of this 137-nucleotide non-coding RNA. Lineage: Eukaryota; Fungi; Ascomycota; Dothideomycetes; Mytilinidiales; Mytilinidiaceae. The record is from the annotation of a GenBank genome assembly.
GGUCGGUUAGCUCAGUUGGUCAGAGCGUGGUAUGUGUUCACCUUCCUCGAAUGAACCAACACCUGUACUAAUCCACCACAGGUGCUAAUAUCAACAUGUUAACGCCAAGGUCGCGGGUUCGACCCCCGUACUGACCA